UCAAGAUACCCAGAUUGUCUCUAGGGAUUUCCACUUUGGAUUCUUACAGGGAAGUGUACCAGAUACAAACAGUCCAAGGAUGAAGGUUCUUUCCUUGAAUCUAUACUUAUAGCUUCUUCUCACAGAAAACAAGCUGACAGGGUCACUACCCAGUUCAGUUCUUUGAGGAUCGUUGAUGUCAUGAGCAGAGAGAUGGAAGAAAGAGAAGUGCUGCCUCUCCCUCUCAUACCACCCUUUCUUCAUUGAGGAUUACCCCCAACUCAGGGCCUUCUACUUCUGUUGGGCCAAGGCAGCCACUCAGACCUCUUGGGGUGGGGACCCUGAACCAGCAGAAGAAAAAGAAAAGGCUAGGGACAACCCACUGAGGGAUAUGCAGAAGGACUCAACCAACAGCUGGAAGUACAGAGGGAGAUGCUGCAGUAGGACAUGGAGAAGGAGACUAGGGGAGUGAGGAAAGAAUGGUGGCAGAAUACAUUGAGCAUGGCAGGGUGAUGAGGGAGUGGAACCAAGAGCCGCGGAGGGAACAGUUUGAGUGGCUGCUUAGCCUGAAGGCUGGCAGGAAAUAGAUAUGAGAUCCUCCCCAUGUCCCCAAUGCAGCUAUCACCAGUGGACUCUCCUCCAUGGUACAAUGUCCUGUAGCCGAUAUAAUCACCAGAAAGUUCUGGGGUGGAAUGGAGAAAGAGCCAGUCGCCACAUGCCUGGAAUGGAAGUGUGCAUGGGAAGCUGUACCCUGUUCACUCUAACUCCCCACACAACAGUGGGGGAAGGAGAAUACAUCCACAGGCACUGUGCAAUUCCAUUGCCUGUGACAUUGCAUUGAUUGGCUUUACUGUCGGUUUUGUUUUCACUUUUAUCAUCAUUUGCAUUCUCUAUGUAGUGG
This is a long non-coding RNA of Mauremys reevesii (Reeves's turtle), 880 nucleotides long. RefSeq lists it as uncharacterized. The transcript has 3 exons. NCBI's taxonomy places the organism in Eukaryota, Metazoa, Chordata, Testudines, Geoemydidae. The record is from RefSeq and is a predicted model, not a curated record.